UACGAAGGGGACUAGCGUUGUUCGGAAUUACUGGGCGUAAAGCGCACGUAGGCGGAUUUGUAAGUCAGGGGUGAAAUCCCGGGGCUCAACCUCGGAACUGCCUUUGAUACUGCUAAUCUCGAGUCCGAUAGAGGUGGGUGGAAUUCCUAGUGUAGAGGUGAAAUUCGUAGAUAUUAGGAAGAACACCGGUGGCGAAGGCGGCCCACUGGAUCGGUACUGACGCUGAGGUGCGAAAGCGUGGGGAGCAAACAGG
This 253-nucleotide ribosomal RNA is filed under the name uncultured bacterium. RNAcentral describes it as "partial 16S ribosomal RNA". It matches the Rfam family "Bacterial small subunit ribosomal RNA", at positions 524 to 776 of the family's 1533-position model. The record is from RNAcentral.